RNAcentral lists this ribosomal RNA (1456 nucleotides) under uncultured organism. Its description in RNAcentral is "SSU rRNA". It matches the Rfam family "Bacterial small subunit ribosomal RNA". The record is from RNAcentral.
GAACGCUGGCGGCAGGCCUAACACAUGCAAGUCGAGCGGUAGCACAGAGAGCUUGCUCUCGGGUGACGAGCGGCGGACGGGUGAGUAAUGUCUGGGAAACUGCCUGAUGGAGGGGGAUAACUACUGGAAACGGUAGCUAAUACCGCAUAAUGUCGCAAGACCAAAGUGGGGGACCUUCGGGCCUCAUGCCAUCAGAUGUGCCCAGAUGGGAUUAGCUAGUAGGUGGGGUAAUGGCUCACCUAGGCGACGAUCCCUAGCUGGUCUGAGAGGAUGACCAGCCACACUGGAACUGAGACACGGUCCAGACUCCUACGGGAGGCAGCAGUGGGGAAUAUUGCACAAUGGGCGCAAGCCUGAUGCAGCCAUGCCGCGUGUGUGAAGAAGGCCUUCGGGUUGUAAAGCACUUUCAGCGGGGAGGAAGGCGUUAAGGUUAAUAACCUUGGCGAUUGACGUUACCCGCAGAAGAAGCACCGGCUAACUCCGUGCCAGCAGCCGCGGUAAUACGGAGGGUGCAAGCGUUAAUCGGAAUUACUGGGCGUAAAGCGCACGCAGGCGGUCUGUCAAGUCGGAUGUGAAAUCCCCGGGCUCAACCUGGGAACUGCAUUCGAAACUGGCAGGCUAGAGUCUUGUAGAGGGGGGUAGAAUUCCAGGUGUAGCGGUGAGAUGCGUAGAGAUCUGGAGGAAUACCGGUGGCGAAGGCGGCCCCCUGGACAAAGACUGACGCUCAGGUGCGAAAGCGUGGGGAGCAAACAGGAUUAGAUACCCUGGUAGUCCACGCCGUAAACGAUGUCGAUUUGGAGGUUGUGCCCUUGAGGCGUGGCUUCCGGAGCUAACGCGUUAAAUCGACCGCCUGGGGAGUACGGCCGCAAGGUUAAAACUCAAAUGAAUUGACGGGGGCCCGCACAAGCGGUGGAGCAUGUGGUUUAAUUCGAUGCAACGCGAAGAACCUUACCUGGUCUUGACAUCCACAGAACUUAGCAGAGAUGCUUUGGUGCCUUCGGGAACUGUGAGACAGGUGCUGCAUGGCUGUCGUCAGCUCGUGUUGUGAAAUGUUGGGUUAAGUCCCGCAACGAGCGCAACCCUUAUCCUUUGUUGCCAGCGGUUAGGCCGGGAACUCAAAGGAGACUGCCAGUGAUAAACUGGAGGAAGGUGGGGAUGACGUCAGGUCAUCAUGGCCCUUACGACCAGGGCUACACACGUGCUACAAUGGCAUAUACAAAGAGAAGCGACCUCGCGAGAGCAAGCGGACCUCAUAAAGUAUGUCGUAGUCCGGAUUGGAGUCUGCAACUCGACUCCAUGAAGUCGGAAUCGCUAGUAAUCGUAGAUCAGAAUGCUACGGUGAAUACGUUCCCGGGCCUUGUACACACCGCCCGUCGCACCAUGGGAGUGGGUUGCAAAAGAAGUAGGUAGCUUAACCUUCGGGAGGGCGCUUACCACUUUGUGAUUCAUGACUGGG